AUUCCGGUUGAUCCUGCCGGAGGCCAUUGCUAUCGGAGUCCGAUUUAGCCAUGCUAGUCGCACGAGUUCAGACUCGUGGCAUAUAGCUCAGUAACACGUGGCCAAACUACCCUACAGACCGCGAUAACCUCGGGAAACUGAGGCCAAUAGCGGAUAUCACUCUCAGACUGGAGUGUCGAGAGUGAGAAACGUUCCGGCGCUGUAGGAUGUGGCUGCGGCCGAUUAGGUAGAUGGUGGGGUAACGGCCCACCAUGCCGAUAAUCGGUACAGGUUGUGAGAGCAAGAGCCUGGAGACGGUAUCUGAGACAAGAUACCGGGCCCUACGGGGCGCAGCAGGCGCGAAACCUUUACACUGCACGACAGUGCGAUAGGGGGACUCCGAGUGUGAGGGCAUAUAGCCCUCGCUUUUCUGUACCGUAAGGUGGUACAGGAACAAGGACUGGGCAAGACCGGUGCCAGCCGCCGCGGUAAUACCGGCAGUCCAAGUGAUGGCCGAUAUUAUUGGGCCUAAAGCGUCCGUAGC
This 523-nucleotide ribosomal RNA is filed under the name Haloarcula sp. Atlit-7R. Its description in RNAcentral is "bacterial SSU rRNA". It matches the Rfam family "Archaeal small subunit ribosomal RNA", at positions 1 to 525 of the family's 1478-position model. RNAcentral also lists the same sequence under 1 other name. Lineage: Archaea; Methanobacteriati; Methanobacteriota; Halobacteria; Halobacteriales; Haloarculaceae. The record is from RNAcentral.